GUGCUCGCUUGGGCAGCACACUUACUGAAACUGGAACAACAGAGAGAAGAUGAGUGUGGCCCUUUGUGCAAAGUGACACGAAAAUUCAAGAAGCAUCCCAUUUAAAA
Molecule: small nuclear RNA, 107 nt
Organism: Peromyscus eremicus (cactus mouse)
Lineage: Eukaryota; Metazoa; Chordata; Mammalia; Rodentia; Cricetidae
Source: RefSeq, a predicted model, not a curated record